RNAcentral lists this ribosomal RNA (447 nucleotides) under uncultured bacterium. RNAcentral's name for it is "bacterial SSU rRNA". It matches the Rfam family "Bacterial small subunit ribosomal RNA", at positions 355 to 825 of the family's 1533-position model. The record is from RNAcentral.
UGGGGAAUAUUGGACAAUGGGCGCAAGCCUGAUCCAGCCAUGCCGCGUGAAGGAUGAAGUAUUUCGGUAUGUAAACUUCGAAAGAAUAGGAAGAAUAAAUGACGGUACUAUUUAUAAGGUCCGGCUAACUACGUGCCAGCAGCCGCGGUAAUACGUAGGGACCAAGCGUUGUUCGGAUUUACUGGGCGUAAAGGGCGCGUAGGCGGCAUGACAAGUCACUUGUGAAAUCUCUGGGCUUAACCCAGAAUGGCCAAGUGAUACUGUCGCGCUAGAGUGCAGAAGGGGCAAUCGGAAUUCUUGGUGUAGCGGUGAAAUGCGUAGAUAUCAAGAGGAACACCUGAGGUGAAGACGGGUUGCUGGGCUGACACUGACGCUGAGGCGCGAAAGCCAGGGGAGCAAACGGGAUUAGAUACCCCAGUAGUCCCUGAGCGGGCUGGCAAGGCGCAU